UGUGAAAAAUAUGCACUCUAUGGAAGGAU
This 29-nucleotide non-coding RNA is filed under the name Rattus norvegicus (Norway rat). The record is from RNAcentral. Lineage: Eukaryota; Metazoa; Chordata; Mammalia; Rodentia; Muridae.